Molecule: long non-coding RNA, 700 nt
Organism: Neofelis nebulosa (Clouded leopard)
Lineage: Eukaryota; Metazoa; Chordata; Mammalia; Carnivora; Felidae
Exons: 2
Source: RefSeq, a predicted model, not a curated record
CGCGGCGAGGUGGGCGGUGUCGGCGCUGAGGGCUGCUGGAGCGAGUGACGUCCGGAGUCUCCUUUUUAAGAAGUCUAAUGUAGUCGGGAGCACAGAAACAUUGAUGAGAAAACUGAGAAAUAAAAAGGUUAAGCCAUGUGUCCGAGACCACAUAGCUUGUGAAAAGCAGAGCUGAAAUACCACCCCAAACCUGGCUGAUUCCAAAGCACAGGCUCAAAGUCACUAUGCUCUCUCCUCCUGUACUUCCCUGGGUGAUCACGCCCAUCCUGAGAGCUUCAAUUGUCAUCUCUAUGCUGAUCACUUCCCCCAUCUAUAUCUCCAGCCCAGACAUUUCUGCUUAGCUCUAGCCAAUAUAUGGAAUUGGUGAUUGGGAUACUUUUACCCCACAGGCUCUUCAAACCUGCCAGGUCCAAAACAGAAACCAUCAUUUCCCCAGGAAAUCUGCUCUUCUGCCUGUAUUAGUUUUCUUUCCUUUUUAUUUUUUUAAGUAAAGUCUACAUGGGGCUCAAACUCACAACAUGGGGCUCAAACUCACAACCCCAAGAUCAAGAGUCACAUGCUCUACCAACGAAGCCAGCCAGGCUCCCCUGUGUUAGCCUUCUAAAUAGGUGCUACCACCAGUGUCUGACCAUAAGAUUCCAUUGCUUAAAACCCUCUGCUGGCCCACUAGUGCUUAUACAAUAAAGUCCAAGCUCCUUAA